AUUGAACGCUGGCGGCGUGCUUAACACAUGCAAGUCGAUCGGUAACAGGUGUAGCAAUACAUGCUGACGAGAGGCGGACGGGUGAGUAAUGCUUGGGAAUCUGCCUAUUAGUGGGGGACAACCCGGGGAACUCGGGCUAAUACCGCAUACGCUCUACGGAGGAAAGCCGGGGACCGCAAGGCCUGGCGCUAAUAGAUGAGCCCAAGUCGGAUUAGCUAGUUGGUAGGGUAACGCCUACCAAGGCGACAAUCCGUAGCUGGUCUGAGAGGACGACCAGCCACACCGGAACUGAGACACGGUCCGGACUCCUACGGGAGGCAGCAGUGGGGAAUAUUGGACAAUGGGGGCAACCCUGAUCCAGCGACGCCGCGUGGGUGAAGAAGGCCUGCGGGUU
This 394-nucleotide ribosomal RNA is filed under the name uncultured bacterium. RNAcentral's name for it is "bacterial SSU rRNA". It matches the Rfam family "Bacterial small subunit ribosomal RNA", at positions 29 to 424 of the family's 1533-position model. The record is from RNAcentral.